UACGGUAGGUGCGAGCGUAAUCGAAGUUACUGGCGUAAGCGUGCGCAGGCGGUUUUGUAAGCCAGACGUGAAAUCCCCGGGCUUAACCUGGGAACUGCGUUUGGAACUGCAAGGCUAGAGUGCGGCAGAGGAAGGUGGAAUUCCUGGUGUAGCAGUGAAAUGCGUAGAUAUCAGGAGGAACACCGAUGGCGAAGGCAGCCUUCUGGGCUAGCACUGACGCUCAUGCACGAAAGCGUGGGGAGCAAACAGGAUUAGAUACCCGAGUAGU
Molecule: ribosomal RNA, 268 nt
Filed under: uncultured bacterium
Lineage: Bacteria
Description: partial 16S ribosomal RNA
Rfam family: Bacterial small subunit ribosomal RNA
Source: RNAcentral